RNAcentral lists this ribosomal RNA (968 nucleotides) under human gut metagenome. RNAcentral's name for it is "bacterial LSU rRNA". It matches the Rfam family "Bacterial large subunit ribosomal RNA", at positions 1950 to 2925 of the family's 2925-position model. The record is from RNAcentral.
CCUAAGGUAGCGAAAUUCCUUGUCGGGUAAGUUCCGACCUGCACGAAUGGCGUAACGAUUUGGGCGCUGUCUCAACCGUGGACCCGGUGAAAUUGUACUGUUCGUGAAGAUGCGAACUACCCGCGGAAGGACGGAAAGACCCCGUGAACCUUUACUGCAGCUUGGCAUUGGCUGCCGGGGCGCCGUGUAGAGGAUAGGUGGGAGACCGUGAUGCGGGGGCGCCAGCCCCCGCGGAGUCGCCCUUGGAAUACCACCCUCGGCGCCUUGGCAUCCUAACCUGCGGCCGUGACCCGGCGCAGGGACCGUGCCAGGUGGGUAGUUUGACUGGGGCGGUCGCCUCCCAAAGAGUAACGGAGGCGCACGUAAGGUCUGCUCGUCGCGGUCGGCAACCGCGAUCAUGAGUGCAAGAGCAUAAGCAGGCUUGACUGCGAGGCCCACAAGCCGAGCAGGUGGGAAACCAGGUUCUAGUGAUCCGGCGGCACAGAGUGGUAUGGCCGUCGCUCAACGGAUAAAAGGUACUCCGGGGAUAACAGGCUGAUCUUCCCCAAGAGUCCACAUCGACGGGAAGGUUUGGCACCUCGAUGUCGGCUCAUCGCAUCCUGGGGCUGGAGCAGGUCCCAAGGGUACGGCUGUUCGCCGUUUAAAGCGGUACGCGAGCUGGGUUCAGAACGUCGUGAGACAGUUCGGUCCCUAUCCUCCGUGGGCGCAGGAAGACUGAGGGAGGCUGCCCCUAGUACGAGAGGACCGGGGUGGACGGACCUCCGGUGCACGGGUUGUUCGCCAAGAGCAUGGCCCGGUAGCUGAGUCCGGUCGGGAUAACCGCUGAAAGCAUCUAAGCGGGAAGCCCUUCCCGAGAUGAGUCUUCCUUUUCGGUAAGGACACAGGUAGACUACCUGUUCGAUAGGCCGCAGGCGCAAGCACGGCGACGUGCUCAACCGAGCGGUACUAAUCGUCCGAGCUCUUACUCG